AAGUCGUAACAAGGUCUCCGUUGGUGAACCAGCGGAGGGAUCAUUAAAGAGUUGCAAAACUCCCAACCAUUGUGAACGAACCUUUCUGCCCAGGCGAGCAGCGCUCUGUCGUUGCAAGCCGAAGGCAGUAAACUCUUAAUUCAGUGAAUGUCUGAGUUGCUUAUUUUAAUAAGUCAAAACUUUCAACAACGGAUCUCUUGGUUCUG
This 206-nucleotide unclassified non-coding RNA is filed under the name fungal sp. Its description in RNAcentral is "partial internal transcribed spacer region". The stretch from base 1 to 46 matches the Rfam family "Eukaryotic small subunit ribosomal RNA", at positions 1786 to 1831 of the family's 1831-position model. Lineage: Eukaryota; Fungi. The record is from RNAcentral.